UAAUACGGAGGGUGCAAGCGUUAAUCGGAAUUACUGGGCGUAAAGCGCACGCAGGCGGUUUGUUAAGUCAGAUGUGAAAUCCCCGGGCUCAACCUGGGAACUGCAUUUGAAACUGGCAAGCUAGAGUCUCGUAGAGGGGGGUAGGAAUUCCAGGUGUAGCGGUGAAAUGCGUAGAGAUCUGGAGGAAUACCGGUGGCGAAGGCGGCCCCCUCGGACGAAGACUGACGCUCAGGUGCGAAAGCGUGGGGAGCAAACAGGAUUAGAUACCCUGGUAGUCCACGCUGUAAACGAUGUCGAUUUGGAGGUUGUGCCCUUGAGGCGUGGCUUCCGGAGCUAACGCGUUAAAUCGACCGCCUGGGGAGUACGGCCGCAAGGUUA
Molecule: ribosomal RNA, 378 nt
Filed under: uncultured Serratia sp.
Lineage: Bacteria; Pseudomonadati; Pseudomonadota; Gammaproteobacteria; Enterobacterales; Yersiniaceae
Description: bacterial SSU rRNA
Rfam family: Bacterial small subunit ribosomal RNA
Source: RNAcentral